Molecule: long non-coding RNA, 1008 nt
Filed under: Homo sapiens (human)
Lineage: Eukaryota; Metazoa; Chordata; Mammalia; Primates; Hominidae
Description: HSALNT0001315
Source: RNAcentral
GUGAACUGUUCUUCCUGAAGACCUUGGAUUCGCCCAUCCCUGUCACUCUGUGGUCCCUGCCUCCACCCUUUCUCAGGACGUCAUCACCUCCUACCUGGGCCACUGAAAUAGCACCCCCAUGAUCUCUGGAAUCCACUCUUCUGCCCCCAUUCCAUUGUCCACAACGAAGCCAGAGGGACUUUUCCCAACCACAAACCUGACGGAAUCACCUUCUGGCUGAAAACCACCUGUCACUUCCCUUCACACUGAGGAUAAGGUCAAACCGCCUGUUUUCAUGUCCUUGGACACAUCCAGCUCCUUCAGACCUCAGGACCUUUGCACGUGCUCACAUCUUUGCCAGGAAGGCUCUUCAACUCCGAUUUCACCCCUCCACACCAUCUAUAGUUAUUUGCAACUCAUCUUAGCAUCUCAGCCUUCUCUGAGCCCACAGCUAGAUCAGGUCCCCUUCAUUGUACUUUCGUUCUUGCCUUUACGUCACUUAUUCCCAUCUGUAAUGACAUAUUUGGGUAAUUAUUUCAAUAUUGCUGAUCAACCUUCCUACCCCACAAGGACAGGGAUUAUGGCUUUUUCCUCCCUACUUCAGCCAACAUUCUACACAGUGCCCAAAGAGGGGCCCAAGGAAUAUUUGGAGAUUUUAUGUGACAAAAGAAAUGUUGAUAUUCUCAAUAUCCUUUAUAUAUGUGAUAUUAAAACACCAGUAGAAAUUUUUUUUUAAUUUCAACAGACAAAAGAUUGCAAACAUUCAGAAAGAUUUACAAAUAGCUAAUCAACCUUAUUAGGAACAAAAAUGUAAACUAACUAUAACAAAAUACCUCUUCAAUAUACUAAUUUGUUAAACUUUAAAAAGGUAAUAGGAGGCCGGGCACUGUGCCUCAUACCUGUAAUCCCAGCACUUUGGCAGACUGAGGUGGGAGGCUCCCUUGAGCCCAGGAGGUCAAGGCUGCAAUGAGCCUUGAUUGUAUGACUGCACUCCAGCUUGGGUGACAAAGCAAUACAAAAGUCUCAAAA